RNAcentral lists this ribosomal RNA (42 nucleotides) under uncultured fungus. RNAcentral's name for it is "partial 28S ribosomal RNA". The record is from RNAcentral. Lineage: Eukaryota; Fungi.
GUGACCUCAAAUCAGGUAGGACUACCCAGACUGAACUUAAGC